GGGGCUGAAUUUUGGGCGCGGGUGUGCCCGUGGCCUAUUUUUGGCACACGGAGGCCGCCCGCAAAGUCUGGGGCCAUUCCGAGUCCGGCGGACGAACUUCGCCCACGCCCCCCACCAAGGCUAUAGCCCACCCGUUUUUUGGCCAUUUUUCCGCUGGGGGGUCUUGGCGCCCCGACCUUCGGGGACUGAUUUUUGGGCGCGGGUGUGCCCGUGGCCUAUUUUUGGCACACGGAGGCCGCCCGCAAAGUCUGGGGCCAUUCCGAGUCCGGCGGACGAGCUUCGCCCACGCCCCCCACCAAGGCUAUAGCCCACCCGUUUUUUGGCCAUUUUUCCGCUGGGGGGUCUUGGCGCCCCGACCUUCGGGGGCUGAUUUUUGGGCGCGGGUGUGCCCGUGGCCUAUUUUUUGCACACGGAGGCCGCCCGCAAAGUCUGGGGCCAUUCCGAGUCCGGCGGACGAACUUCACCCACGCCCCCCACCAAGGCUAUAGCCCACCCGUUUUUUGGCCAUUUUUCCGCUGGGGGGUCUUGGCUCCCCGACCUUCGGGGGCUGAUUUUUGGGCGCGGGUGUGCCCGUGGCCUAUUUUUGGCACACGGAGGCCGCCCGCAAAGUCUGGGGCCAUUCCGAGUCCGGCGGACGAACUUCGCCCACGCCCCCCACCAAGGCUAUAGCCCACCCGUUUUUUGGCCAUUUUUCCGCUGGGGGGUCUUGGCGCCCCGACCAUCGGGGGCUGAAUUUUGGGCGCGGGUGUGCCCGUGGCCUAUUUU
RNAcentral lists this long non-coding RNA (765 nucleotides) under Citrus x clementina. RNAcentral describes it as "Citrus clementina (C. clementina) long non-coding RNA (CCLE_LNC002169)". The record is from RNAcentral. Lineage: Eukaryota; Viridiplantae; Streptophyta; Magnoliopsida; Sapindales; Rutaceae.